GGGGUUUUAGCUUAAUUGGUAGAGCAUGGUCUUUGCAAGACUAAGGUUGCAGGUUCAAGCCCAGUAAACUCCA
This 73-nucleotide transfer RNA is filed under the name Crella elegans. Its description in RNAcentral is "tRNA-Ala". It matches the Rfam family "tRNA". From Rfam's summary of the family: Transfer RNA (tRNA) molecules are approximately 80 nucleotides in length. RNAcentral also lists the same sequence under 2 other names. Lineage: Eukaryota; Metazoa; Porifera; Demospongiae; Poecilosclerida; Crellidae. The record is from RNAcentral.